UUAUUUUGAGCUAUGAAAUUUCAUUCCACUUAAUUCUCUUUGAAUUUUAGUAAGGAGAAAAUAUUCUUUUUUAUAGAUUAGGGUAGGAUUUGUUUGUGAUUCACAUUCACUAUAUUCUCUGAUGAAAACAAAAAGAUGUAUAUUUGAUCUUUUUUUUUUUUGAGUGAGGCUUAAAUUUGAUCGAAGGAUCAAGAGCUGAACUUUUGUAUUUGAUGGGGUGCUGAAGGGAAGAAAAGAAAAAAAUCCUUUUUUUUUUUGCUAAUAAGAAAAAAGUCUAUGGUUGUAAAUUUCAUAGCUUGUAAUUUAUGCAUAAUUUUCAGAGCAUAAUGAAAAAAAAAUAUAGUGUAUAAUUUUUCGACCCUGAUACUGGUACAACUAAUAGUUGUUCAUUCGGUGCAUCAAUUAUUUGAUAUAUUUGACCUUCAAUCUCUUAAUCUAAUCCCAAGUAGUUUUCUUGUUUUGACUUUCAUUUCCUUUUGAAUUUUUAAAAAUGUCUCUCUCAAAUAGAGAAUCAUAAGAAAGGCAGUGAAAGAUUAAUAUUUAAGGGUCGUUUGGUAAGAGGAAUUUGGAACAAUAUUUAAAUGAAGAGAUUAGGAAUAGUAAUCAUCGCCAUAAUUAAGAGUGUUUGGCUGAUUGUACAAAAGCAAAUAAUCCAUGCAUACUUAAUACUAUAACGUUAAAGAAUACUCAUUAUUGAAUUAUGCGAAAAUUUAUGAGAAAUAUAUUGUGGAAUAAAAUUAUGUACAUCGAUAUAAUAAUACAUAGAAAAACUUUUUUAAAGACAAAAGAUAUCUAAGAUAUAGGUAAUACCUGCAUAAUAGUCAUUGCAUUGUGUAACAAUUCAUAAAUUAUUAUAUAUCUUAUAAAUAAUCGCUUGAUUAAACGGAUAAACAAUCAAGUAUUAUAAUCUCCUAUUAAUUAGCAUGUGAACCAAAUUAUUCCUUAAUUAAGCUAGCUGAACGAUCUGAAGCUCAAAGGCACAUGGCGUUCCAAACUGUUGGUAUUUGGUUCAAUUUUUAAAAAAGGGUUUUCGCGAAAGAACAAUCAAUGUAAUGCAAAAAUUGUAUUUCAAGCAAUCUUCGAAAAAGAAGUGUUCCUUUUAGUUGGUGUUUUUUGUUCUGCUAAAGGAGUGUAUUUUAGACCAAUUAGGGAAAAUGACUUGCGUUAUUCAUUCGUAUAAUUACUUUUUAUAAUUGCUUUAACUUUGACUUAGUGGAAUUUAAGAAAGCGGCAUACCUGCGGAUAUUGGAGAGCGUGGACGAGAAGAAAAAGAGGAUGAAUAGGGAGUAGUAUAAGAUAGCUAAGAAGGAAGCAAAGUUAACGGUCACAACUACAAGACUGAUGCGUUCGAACGCUUGUACGAAGAACUUGGAGGCAAAGGGGGGGGAUAAAAAUUGUACAGACUAGCCAAGGUGCGAGAAAAGAAAGCAUGUGACUUGGACCAAGUGAAGUACAUCAAGGACGAGGAAGGCAUAGUUUUGUUGGAUGAGGCACUCAUUCCCCGAAAAUGACAGACUUACUAUAUAAACUCUUGAACAAAGAGGGAGGUAGGAACAUUGAGCUAGGUGACUUAGAGCACUCGGAGAGUCAUCGGACUUUGGGUAUUGUAGGCGCAUAAGAGCCGAGGUGUUAUACCCCCUGGUAAAAGAGAUCUAUCCAUUUUAGCCACCCUUUCUAUUACUGAUCUAGUUGCUCUUGCUAUCUAACCCGCCACUUUAUUAUAUGAUCUUUUAUUGACUUCAAAAAGUCAAUUUUUUUCUUUUUCUCGGGCCGACUUCAUACAUUCUAUUACUUAUAGAAAUAGUCAUGCCAAUCUUCUCGGUAAAGAAGAACUCUUUCGCACGAUCUUAAGAGAGCCUAGUUCCACAAGAGCCUUAUCACGAGCCUUUACUUGAUGAAAGGCGCCCUGUAAGAUGCGCUAUAUCGACAAGGCGAGGAGAAAGCAGCCUAAUGGGAAUAGCUCCAAACCAAAGCAGCCCUCCAUCUCGCAUAUAGAAAUGGUUGACAGGCAUACCUAUUCAUUAACCCGCCACUUUAUUAUAUGAUCUUUCAUUGACUUCAAAAAGUCAAUUUUUUUUCUUUUUCUCGGGCCAACUUCAUACAUUCUAUUAGGAGGCUAUGCAUAAGAUGAACAAGGGGAGAGCGACAGGUCAAGACGAGAUCCUGGUGAAAUUUUGGAAUAGUGUGGGUAGGGAGGGCUUGGAGUGACUCACUUAGUUAUUUAAUGUCACUUUUAGGAUGAAGAAGAUGCCUGAAGAAUGAUAAAGGAGUACGGUAGUCUCACUAUAUAAGAACAAGGGUGAUAUCCAAAGUUGAAACAACUAUCAGAGUAUCAAGUUACUGAGCCAUACUAUGAAAGUCUGGGAGAGAGUGGGGAAAUGAGGUUGAGGAGGAUCGUGACAAUUUCUGAAAACCAGUUCAGAUAUAUGACGAGACAUUCGACUGCAAAAGUUAUCCAUCUUGUUAGGAGGUUGAUGGAUCAGUAUAGGGAGAGGAAGAUGUAUUUACACAUGGUGUUCAUCGGCUUAGAGAAGGCUUCCGAUAAAGUACCGAUAGAGGUUCUAUGGAGAUGUUUGGAGACUAGAGGUAUUCUUAUUGCAUAUAUUAGGAAAAUUAAGGAUAUGUAUGAUGGAGCUAAGACUCAGGUGAGGACCAUGAGAUGGGAUUCGGAAAACUUCCUUGUUAUGAUGGGGUUGCACAAGGGGUCGACCCUCAACCCAUUUUUAUUUGUCUUGGCGAGCGACGCUGUGACGGACCACACUCAAAGAGAGGUAUCGUGGUGCAUUUUAUUUGUAGAUGAUAUUGUACUAAUUGAGGAGACGCGAGGCAGUGUUAACGCGAUGUUAGAGGUUUGGAGGCAGACCCUAGAGUCUUAAGGUUUCAAGUUGAGGAGGACGAAGAUGGAAUACUUGGAGUGCAAGUUCAAUUGUGCGUCUCAUGUAGUGGAUGAAGAUGUGAGGUUUGAUUCUCAAGUCAUCCCUAGGAGAGAAAGUUUUAAAUACUUGGUUCAGUUAUUCAAAGGAAUAUGGAGAUCCACAAGGAUGUUACACGUCAUAUUGUGGAGGGAUGGAUGAAAUGGAGGCUCGCUUCUAUUGUUUUAUGUGAUAAGAAUGUGCCACUAAAACUUAAUUGUAAGUUCUAUAGAGCGGUGGUCAGACCAGCUAUGUUGUAUGGAUCAGAGUGUUGGCUAGUCAAGAACUCCAAAGUCCAUAAGAUGAAGGUAGCUUAAAUGAGGAUGUUAAGAUGGAUGUGUGGGCAUACCAGGUUAGAUAGAAUUAGAGCUGAUGUUCUUCGGUACAAGGAGGGCAUGACCCCUAUAAAGGACAAGAUGCGGAAGGUGAGACUUGGAUGGUUCAGGCAUGUGAUGAGAAGAGACACAGAUGCUCUGAUGAGGAGUUGCGAGAGGUUGGCCUUGAAGGGCCUGAGAAGAGGUAGAGACAGGCCGAAGAAGUAUUGGGGAGAGGUGAUUAGGCAGGAUAUGACAUUGCUCCAGGUUACUGAAAAUUAACUACCCAUUAAUUUUUCCUCUUUAUUGUUGAGUAAAUAGACAUUUAUAUAAUGACAUUUAUGAUGUGGCCAUUUUUACAGAAACAGUCAUUCUGAAGAGUUGCACCUGUUCAUAUUUCAGCCUAACUUUUGGCUAUAAAUACAAUAUUAUUCCUCAAAAUUUCACUAUGAUUUUUUGAGUUUCUUCUCUUUCUUUUGCAUACUUUUAGCAUCAAACAAAGCAAAAGUAAGUGUGAUUUUCUAUCGAACUUUAUGUUUGCUGAAAUACUGAGGUUUGAAGUACCACUACACUAGUGUGUAAUUCGUUCUAUCUUGGGAGGAAAUAAUUCAUAACCUUGGGUACUAGGAGGGGAUUAAAUUCCUUAAGGAAACACUAUGAAUCCAGUGGGCUCGAAUUGAUUUUAUAUCAUUUCAAUUUAUGUUCAUUUAUGUUUAUAUUUCUUUUUAUUUCCAGAAUUAUUUUAGAAAUACAGUAUACUAACAAGCUUAAGGAGUUUAAUUAUAUUUCUGUAUUUGUACUUAUUAUUUCUGCAGAGUAAAACCUUUGUGGUCUUGUACUCUAUUAAAAUCUACGUGAUUUUAAUGUUGAUGUCAUUCUUUUACAGAAAUGACUAAUGAUAACAGAAACCAAGUUGUUCCGAUGGUGAUAGACAAUGCCUUAAUGAGCCGAACACCUGUAGCAUUGGCACCGGCAGAGAAACCUGAAAAAUUUUCCGGGAUUGAUUUUAAGCGUUUGCAGCAAAAGAUAUUCUUCUACUUGACUACUCUAAGUCUCCAGAAAUUCAUCAAGGAAGAAGUUCCUGUGCUGUCCGAUGGAACUUCAUAAAAUGAACGCUUUCUCGUGACUGAGGCGUGGAAGCAUUCAGAUUUUUUGUGUAAGAAUAAUAUCCUAAGUGGGCUAGAGGAUGCUUUGUAAAAUGUCUAUAGUGGCGUGAAAAUAUCGAAAGAACUGUAGACUGCGCUUGAAAAGAAAUACAAAAUUGAAGAUGCUGGGUUGAAAAAGCUUGCGGCUGCAAAGUUUUUUGGACUAUAAAAUGGUAGAUAACAAGUCUGUUAUUACCCAAGUCCAAGAAUUGCAAGCGACUAUUCACGAUCUCCUUGCUGAAAGUAUAAAUUAAAUUAAUAUUGAUGUUGAAAGUAGUAAUCUUAGUAUUUUUACUAACAAAAAUUUUAUUGAAGGUCUUGUCAUCAAUGAAGCAUUCUAAGAAGCAGCGAUGAUUGAGAAGUUGCCUCCUUUAUGGAAAUACUUCAAAAACUACAUGAAACACAAACGCAAUGAGAUGUCCCUUGAAGAUCUCAUUGUUCGGUUGAGAAUCGAAGAGGACAACAAAUAUGGUAAAAAGAAAGGCCGUGGAAAUUUAACAAUAAUGGGAGCUAAUAUUGUUGAAGAGAACAAAAAGAGAAAGAAGGCUUGUGGACCGAAAUAUUGUUGAAGCGGUUCAGUGGAAAUGGCUACAAAUGUAGAAAGCCCGGACACAAAUCUAUAGAGUGUCGUGCUCCGAAGAAAGACAAGAAGAAGGGUCAAGCAAACAUGGUUGAAAAACAUGAUGAUGUUGAUGACUNNNNNNNNNNNNNNNNNNNNNNNNNNNNNNNNNNNNNNNNNNNNNNNNNNNNNNNNNNNNNNNNNNNNNNNNNNNNNNNNNNNNNNNNNNNNNNNNNNNNNNNNNNNNNNNNNNNNNNNNNNNAUCCGAAUGCAACUUGGUAGGCAAUCCUAAAGAGUGGUGGAUUGAUUCUGGAGCCACUCACCAUGUUUGUGGUGUUAACGAAGCUUUUGCUACUUAUGCUCAUGUUGGACCCGAUGAGACAAUUUCUAUGGGAAAUGCUGCAAAGGCCAAAUUGAAGGAUGUGGGAUGAUAUUUCUCAAAAUGACUUCCGGUAAAGUGGUGACUUUAAACAACGUCCUUCAUGUUCCCGAGAUUAGAAAAAAUUUAGUCUCUACUGAACUUUUUCUUAACAAUGGUUUUAAAUGUGUUUUUGUUUCCGAUAAGGUUGUAACAAAUAAGAAUGAGGUUUGUAGGAAAAGGUUACCUCACCGAGGGCCUUUUCAAGCUAAAUGUAAUGGUUGUGAAAAAUAAUAAUAAAAUUUCAGCUUCAUCUUACUUACUUGAGUCAAAUGAAUUAUGGCAUAUACAUUUGGGUCAUGUCAAUUAUAAAACCUUACGAAAAAUAAUUAAUUUGGAAGUAUUGGCUAAAUUUGAAUGUGACAAAUCAAAAUGUUAAGUAUAUGUGGAAUAUAAGUAUAUUAAACAUCCUGAUAAGUCAAUUGAAAGGAAUAUAAUUUCAAAUAUAUGUGGAAUCUAAGUAUGUUAAACAUCCUUAUACGUCAGUUGAAAGGAAUUCAAAUCCUUUAGACUUUAUUCACACAGAUAUUUGUGACAUGAAGUCAAUACCAUCUCGCAGUAGAAAGAAGUAUUUAAUAACUUUUAUUGAUGACAGUAAUAGAUAUUGCCAUGUUUGCUUACUUAAUAGUAAAGAUGAAGCAAUAAAUGCAUUCAAGCAAUACAAAAUGAAGUUGAAACACAACUUAAUAAGAAAAUCAAAAUGAUAAAACGUGAUAGGGGUGGUGAAUAUGAAUCUCCUUUUGAAUAAAUAUGUUUUAAGGAAUUAUUUAUCAAACAACAGCCCUUUACACGCCCCAAUCGAAUGGGAAUACAAAAAAAAAAGAAUCGUUCAUUAAAGGAGAUGAUGAACACAUUAUUGAUAAGUUCUGGUUUACCACAGAAGUUGUUGGGGGACGCCAUUCUUACGGCUAGCCGAAUACUAAAUCGAGUACCUCAUAACAAAACACAAUCCAUUCCAUAUGAAAAUGAAAAGAGAGGAAGCCCAACUUGAAUUAAUUUAAAGUGUGGGGGAGUUUGGCAAAAGUGCAUGUUCCUAAACACAAAAGGAUAAAAAUAGGACCGAAAAUCGUUGAUUGUAUUUUCAUGGGAUAUGCAACUAAUAGUAAAGCAUAUCGAUUUCUGGUUCAUAAAUCAGAAAAUCUCGACAUUCAUAAUAAUACGGUUAUAGAAUCAGAUAAUAUCGAGUUCUUUGAAAAUAUAUAUAUAUAUAUGUAUAAUAUGAUUAUAGAAUUUAUAGUGCUGAGUUCUUUGAAAAUAUAUAUCCGUAUAAAAAAAUAUGAGUCGAUUGGCGAAGGAUCUAAAUGACCUUUGGAAGAAACAAAAGAAAGUACACUUAACUAGGAGGAUCCAAGACGUAGUAAAUGUCAAAGAACGUCUACUUUGUUUGGACCAGAUUUUGUUACUUUCUUAUUGAAAAAUGAGCCUUAAACAUUUAAAGAAGCUAUGUCUUCUUCGGAAUCAUUGUUAUGGAAUGUGAUAGUCAAUAGUGAAAUAGAAUCCAUACUAAACAACCAUACAUGGGAAUUGGCUGAUCUUCCUUCUGGAAAUAGACCGUUGGGGUUCUAAAUGGAUAUUUAAGAGCAAAAUGAAAGAUGAUGGCACUAUUGAAAAAUAUAAGGCAAGACUUGUGGUCAAAGGAUAUAGACAACAAGAAGGUCUUGACUAUUUUGAUACAUACUCUCCAGUUACAAGAAUUAGGUUCAUACGAAUGUUAGUAGCGUUAGCUACAGUUUAUGGUCUUGAAAUUCAUCAAAUGGAUGUUAAGACGACCUUCUUAAAUGGAGAGUUGGAGGAAGAAAUCUACAAGGAACAACCUGAAGGGUUUGUGGUGCCGGGUAAAGAAAAAAAGGUCUAUAGACUUGUUAUGUCCCUUUACGGACUAAAACAAGCACCCAAACAAUGACAUGAGAAAUUAGACCAAACAAUGUUGUCAAAUGGGAUUAAUAUAAAUGAAUGUGAUGAAUGUGUGUACAUUAAAAAUGUUCCAAAUAAAAUAGUUAUUGUUUGCUUAUAUGUGGAUGAUAUGCUCAUAAUGAGUAAUGACAUUGCUAGCAUAAAUGCUACUAAGUAUAUGCUAACUAGCAAGUUUGAUAUGAAAGACUUAGGAGUUGCUGAUUUAAUUAUGGGAAUUAAGAUCCAUAAAACUUCUCAAGGUCUAGCAUUGUCUCAAUCUCAUUAUAUUAGGACAAAACAUGAAAAAUUCAAGCACUUAGGCUUUAAAGUUGCAAAGACUCCAAUUUUCAUUAUAUUAAGACAAUACUUGAAAAAUUAAAGCACUUGGGCAUUAAAGUUGCAAAGACUCCAAUUGACAUGAAUCUUGCAUUAGCGAAGAACAAAGACCAAAUUAUAUCACAAUUGGAUUGUGCCCGUGUGUUGGGAUACUUAAUGUACAUCAUGAAUUGUACACGACUAGAUAUAGCUUGUGCUAUAAGUAAAUUGAGUCGAUACACGAGUAAUCCUGGUCAAUCUUAUUGGAUGGCCAUGAAAUGAGUUUUGGGGUAUUUAGUACAUACCCAGGACUUUGCUUUGCACUAUAGUAAAUAUUCUGUGGUGAUUGAGGGUUACUGUGAUGCAAAUUGGAUCACCGGAUCAACUGAUUCCAAGUCCACAGGUGGAUAUGUAUUCACUAUUGGUGGAGGAGCGGUAUCUUGAAAGUCGUCCAAACAAACUUGUAUUGCCCCCUAUAUAAUGCAGGCUGAGUUCAUAACCUUAGAUAAAGCCGAUGAAGAAGUUGAAUGGAUCUGAAAUUUCUUGAAAGAUAUUCCAUUUUGGCCCAAACCAUUGGCACCAAUGUGCAUACAUUUUGAUAGUCAAGGGACAAUUGGAAGGGCUGGGAGCAUUAUGUAAAAUGGUAAAUCUCGUCAUAUAUGAUGGAGAUAUAAAACCGUUAGACAAUUACUCUCUAAAGGAAUUAUCAUGAUUGACUAUGUAAAGUCAAGUGAUAAUGUGUCGGAACCACUUACAAAAGACCUAACAAGAGAGGUAGUUGAGAAGUUAUCAAGGGAAAUGGGACUGUGGCCAAGAACAAUUCAUUUAGGCGGUAACUCUACCUAGAAGAAUGGAGAUCCCAAGAUCUAGGUUCAGGUAGAUCAAACAAAGUCAUUAAUGACGGUUUGGUCCAUUCUCGUGAUGAGACAAUGUUCAGUGCCAAGGAUAAAUCACUAAGGCUUUUAAUAAUUUCUAAAUUUGAUACGGGGUAUAUCAAAUAGUGUAUCUACAGGAUGGCAUAUUUAGGAAUCACCUAUGUAAGUGUGAAGUGUUAUCCACUUCAAGGAGAACUUUGUAAAGCCAGUUCUCUAUGCACUUAUGAAAUCAGGCGGUGUUCAUGGAUGAAACGAACACAACAAUGAGAACCUAAGACAGUUAAGGUUUGGUUGUGUGACUUGUGGUUGUCUAGGUAUACAUCAAAUAUCGACGGCUCAAAGAUAUCAAAUCUACCGGUGGAUCGAGUAUAUCCGACAUAAGUUCAACGCGAAAAGUAAAAAGGGAAACCUACUUAUCCAGAUGCAAUUAAUCCUUGCUUGCGAAUCACACAAUUUUUCAUGCAUAUUUCUGUGAUGUAGCCAUUCCCCCUUCAUAUGGGGGGAUUUUUGGGGCUUUUAAGCAUUAAUAUGGCUUAAUAGAGGGUGAAUGGGUAAUGGAGGGAAAUGAAAAUUAUAAGUGAAAAUUUAUCAUUCAUGUGGGGAAUUGUUGGGUUUUGUGUAUUAAAUAUAAAAUUAAAUACUUAAUAGAGGGUGAAUGAAAAAUCGAGGAAAAUGAAAUUUUUUAGUAAACUUUUAAGUUUCCCCCUUUUGUAUAUGUACAUUGUCCCAUAUUGGAAUAGGAAGAGGGUUUUUAUGGAUAUAUAAGCAAUUGCUCUUCUUCUAGAUCUUAAAGAGUUCAGAGGAAAGCAAACCUCGCGCCGUCGUCGUCGCUCGCUCGGCUCAGCUUUUGGCUUCAGCUUUGGCUUCGGCUUCGGAUUCGAAUUCAGAUUUGGUCAAAUGAUCGAUUUAUUGAUUAAUUUUUUGGAUCAAAUUUAUUUGUUAGUAGUAAAAUAUUAAUAGAAAUGUUAUUAAAUAUUUGUUUUAGGAACAUAAUAUUAAUAUUAAUAUUAAAUCUAAUUCAGCUAUCCAAAUUCAGUUUUCUGUUUUUGUAACAGAAAAUUAACUACCCAUCAAUUUUUCCUUUUUAUUUUUCCUCUUUAUUGUUGAGUAAAUAGUCAUUUAUGUAAUAACAUUUAUGCUUUGGACGUUUUGCAGAAACAACCAUUCUGAAGAAUUGUACCUCUUCAAAUUCCAACUUUUGGCUAUAAAUACAACACUAUUCUCCUUAGAAUUUCACUAUGAUUUUCUAAGUUUCUUCUCCUUCUUUCUGCAUACUUUUAGCAUCAAAUAAAGCAAAAGGAAGUUUGAUUUACUAUCGAACUUUGUAUUCGCUGAAACACUGGAGUUUUAAUUACCACUACACCAGUGUGUAAUUCGUUCUAUCCUGGGAGGAAAUAAUCCAUAACCUUGGGUACUUGGAGGGGAUUAAAUUCCUUAAGGGAACACUGUAAAUUCAGUGGACUCGAAUUGGUUUUCUAUCACUUCUGUUUAUGUUUAUUUCUAUUAUAUUUGUUUAUAUUUUCAGAAUUAUUUUACAAAUACAAUAUACUAACAUGUAUGGAGGUUAAGAAUAAAAGUAAAGGGUGUGUAUCAUUGUAUCACUUGGCUUCUGUACUUGUUGUUGCUUUCGUUUCGGAUUUCUGAUUACAGUACUUACUUUUAGUUUUGUAUUUUUGCUCUGCUUUUCCAAUUUUUAUGCUUGUUGUCUUCCUUAUUUUAUCUUUUCUGAGCCGAGGGUCUAUCGGAAAUAGUCUCUUUGUUUUUUCAGAGGUAGGGGCAAGGUCUGCGUACACUCUAUUCUCCCCAGAUCCCACUAGUGCGAUUAUAUUGGAUUGUUGUUAUUGUUGUUUAACUUUGACUUAAUGGUACAUGUUUAUAUUCAUUAAAUCAAUGCUUACCAUAAAUAUAAGUUAUCUAUCCUAAUACUCAACCAAACGUGAAGCUUGGUCAAAGAUUAGUAUCAUUUUGGAACGAGGGUGUAUGAUUUUGUAUAUUAAGGAUCUAUUAUUUUGUGAAGGCAAUACGAAUUGCAUAGGAGAAAUUAAUGGGCUUCACGAAGGGGACAUGUCCUUUCCUGCGAUAUUUUGGUUUUUUGGGUAAUAUGGUCGAAUGUCUUGUUUCUUGAAUGAGAGUACUGAAAAUCAAGAAUUAUUUGGGCGGCGCAUUAGACAGCUCAUUUCUUCAGAAGAAAUUGAAUUAUUACUCAGUAAUGUAAAAGACAACUCUUGCUUUAUGUCUUUCGCCGGAGUACAUGGGUACUUAUUUACUUUUUAAGUAAUUAUCAUAUACAUUUACGUAAUCCGUAGAAUUUAUAAGGUCUUUGACUAAGCUUUCUUUGAAGUUGAACCUUUGCACACGAAUUGAGUGCAGUAUUAUCAACACUUAAACGGAGUCGAGAGAUACAAAUAACAUUUAGAGGAAGCUACAUAAGACAUGAAGUAAAGUUCAUAGUCGACGCUACGAAACAAUGAACCGCAAAUCAGUACUAAUAUUUUUAGAAAUAGCUAACUCGUCAAAAGCAAAGGCGGAGCCAGGAAUUGAAGGUGGUAGACCGAUGUUGUUUGACUCAAAAGAUAUCGAAACUUUUUUGAAUAAAUCAAUCAAAAAAAAUAAAGGGGUAAAUCUUAGCUAAGUGUAAUAAUCUCUAGAGCAAAAUAUGGAUAAGGAGAUUAUGGAUAAUAAGAAUUCUUUAUCUAUCCAGAUCAACCGAUCUUUUAAAAUAAAUCUUCUCACUCGUUUAUGUAAGCAAAUUUACAGCAAGUAUUCUAGAUCAGCCCAGAAGUCACCAUUUACAAAGUUGUUGGUUUCUAUAUAUAUAAGGAGCGAAACCAUUCUAAGCUGUAAAAGACAAGUUAUAAGGAAUACUCGAAGGAAUAUUCUAAUGUCCCCUAGUGGGCCUGUACUUCUUCGUACUCGUUGACCGUCAUGGUUGGUCAAAUUUGGACCCAUACAGUUAGUCCCUUCGCUUGUCGGGGUUGCAACUGGGUGCGCCCUCGAUGGUCGGACAUCAUGCAUUUCUGUAGAGAAAUUUGAUCCUUCGAGAAGUUACGACAUGGCCAACGGUGGACAGUCAGUGUGCUUAGCAAGAUACCGGGUAAUGCAUUUUACCGAGAAAUGAUUUCAUCUUCACGUGCAUCAUCAUUACGGAUGUUUUUGAGAUAGGAGUUGAUGGCUUGUUGCUUCGAUUAUGGUGACACUCUGUGACCUUCCGCUUUGAUUCUGGCGCUGCCCAAUCAUAUAAAUAGGUGGAGGAUUUGUUUUUUCAAAAGUUCUUGGCCAUUUCAUUUCUGAUUACCUCUCCUUAUUUCUCCGAGCUUGUCCUGACAACCUUCUGCUUCUUCUUCUCACAUUCUUCGUUCACAAUUUCUCCCUCCUUUCUUUUUCCUGCUGUAUCAAUACCUUUUUUAAUGAAAGCAUGCCAAGAUCACACCGAUCUCGUGGAGGGGUUCUUAAGGUCGCCCUAUUGUCCAUGGUGCCCCCCUUCGGGCGGUGAAGAUAUGGUAGUAGAAGAAGGUGAUAGCCUUUCUACGGUGGAGGAGUUGCUGCCGAGACACCCCAUGUCUCGAAGUGACUUCCUCAAAGAUCCCCCUUCUACUCCUACCCCCGUACUCUUUGAGACAGAACAAGUUCACAUUGACGCUCUCCGUGCAAAGUAUGGUGUUCCUGAUCACGUUGACAUGGUAUCAUCAGGGAGAGAUUUCGUUGAGGUCCACAGACCUGGGCACUACACUUUCUACGAGUAACCUUUCGAGAUUUUCUGUACUUUUCCCCUCCUCCCAUUAGCGGAAGAGUUCUGUAGGUUUUACCAAGUUUUCCCGGCACAACUUUCGCUGUAUAUGCUCAAGAUACUUCUGCUAUUGACCAAAUAUGCGUAGUUGACGGAAUGUGAUAUUUCUAUCCACCAUCUUUUGCACUUGUCCUCGCCUAGCUUGCACAGGGGUACCAUGGUGCAUUUGAGGCACUGUGGCACAAAAGGGCUGGUGGUUGGGACAGACGAUCGAGCAAGCCGCAAGUUUUGGCACAAGUACUUCUUUGUCAAAAUCGAACACAUUAUUUCUGACCCCGCCAGGUUUCCAGAGCUAUGGAAUGAGAGUCGUAAAUAUCGCCACUCUCUUUACUCUUCAUUCACCUAUAUUCAUUGUAAAGUUGUUUGCUUCUUGUUUGCAGCUAUGGGAUGUCCGCCCCGCCUUAUUGCUGGCAUAAGAGAUUGGGUAGCCCGUCUGUUGCCCCAUGUAGCAGAAACUCAAGAUUGACCCGCCUUCGUAAAGCAUUACGUCCCUAAAGUUCCAUCUGGUAAAUGUUUUCCCCUUACCACUUUGUUGGAUAUAUAUCGUCGUCUAUUAAUAUGAUUCUUCGUGACGGCAGGUCAAGGAGCUUUUAGGUGGAGGGCGCCAGUCCCUGCAUUCCGACAGGCCGUUGCUACCACACGAAUGCAGUUUACUUUGAAUGAGUCUGUUUGAAAGGGCCGUCCUCAAACGAUUCAAGUGGAAGGUUCCUCUCGAGUCAUGGUUGUGAGGGAGGACGCUUCUUCAGUACCGACCCGACACCUCUUUGAUGAAUCUUCCAAUGGGGAUGAGCUAUUGUCGAGAAAAAGGAGGGGAAUAGAGCUCGGGAAGGAUGUAGCCAAGGACGCUGAUAGAAGAAGGGCGUCGCAGAUGGCACCUGUACCCAUAUUUAUGGGCGACACCAUUUUAUCGGGGAUAUCUCCCCAAAGGGAAGGAGUUUGCCCAGGAGCCAGCUCCGUGCACUCUGUCGAGGGUGGCGUAUCGUCCAACAUUGAAAGUCGUCGUGUUGAGGGUGAAUCAUGUUCAGAUGUCAACCAGGAGGAUGUUAACGAGUUUGUAGGUUGCCAUACUCACGUGGAGGUCAGGGCAUAAGGGUAUGAUCGUCACAAAGUUAUCUCAUGGGAUUACAACUUCUUGUUGAAUUGUGAGCAAGUGGCGUCUGUUUUUGCUCCUUUUUGUGCUGCCCCUGAAAACGAGGUGCUUAGAGCGAUGAGUGACAUGGAGUUGUCUUAGAACGUCGCUGGUAUGGCCUUGCGGAGGUGCCUUUCUUUUCCUUUUCGUCUUUGGGCUUGUGUGGCGAUUGUCGACCUGUAUUUUGUUUAAAUUUUUCUUUUUCUUUUGUGCCAGACCCUUAUCAUGGAGACCAAGAGCAAGCGUCAGGAGAGGAAGGGGACGGCCAUCGAUGGGAAGAUGUCGUCCAAGUAUCAACGGUAUCGUGCUAAGCACCGUAUGAUGACCUAUAUUUAUAAUAAGGACCUGAAUUUCAGUUGUUUCGUGAAGGGCUCAAACAGAGAGAGGACCAACUAGAGUGCAAGAUCAAAGAGAUCAGGGAGCAUGAUGAGGAGCUUAUGAAGGUUUUCACUCGUAAUAGUGAACUUGAGGCCUCCCUUAAGGUGAUGGAGGAUGAGCUUGAGUUGAGCAGGGGGUGAUGGCCAAGAAUGAGGAUUUACAAUCAAAGGAGGCCAGUUUAACUGCCGAAUUGAGUGCAAAGGCGGUGGAGAUUGAGGGGCUUGAGGGCGAGCUGAACGUUGGUGCUGAUAAGUUGGCGGAAACUGUUUCUGGAAUGACGUCCUAGGAGAAUGCCUUCCGUGUUUGUAGGUCGAAGCUGACUGAGGAGAAGGAGGCCUCUAUUCUUAAGGUCGCAGGGCUUGAAGUGCGUGUUAAAGAGUUUGAGGUGGGGCUAUCUGCGUUGAAUGGUUAAGUGUCCUGGCUGAGAGCAGAGGAUGCAAGUUUGCGCUCUCAACCUUCUACGUCUCGUGCCUUGGUCGAUCUGGUCGUGCCUCAUCGCUUAUAUGAGUUUUAGCUCCUUGCUGAGGCCCGGCUUCACAUGUACUAGGCUUUCCACGCCGAGGGGAGGGAAAAAAAAGCGGAACUUCAGUCCGUGCAUAUCUAAGCUCGUGCAGCUUGUGAGGCAUACGGGUACGACCCUCGCACGCCUGAUGUGGAUGACAUCAACUCUGAUGAUGCAAGUUGUCUUGCUUCUACUCUUGGUACAAAGAUGCUUACCCCACCGGGUGUCACACCUCUUUUUUCCUACACCUCGCAAGGGGCGUAAGAGAGUUUUUUCACUUAAAGGACAAUCGGAACGAGAUUUAAUAUUAGAAUUCAUAGUCGCCACUUAGGAGAUUGAUGGUGUCCCAAGUCAUCAGUUGAAUCUCGAGCUGAGAAAAAAUAUGACUCUAUUAAUAGUCCGCAAACCAAAAAUCCGAGUAAUGAAUUCUGUUAACCCAGGAGAAGGUGUUAGGCAUUCCCGAGUUUCGUGAUUCUAGCAUGGUUGCAUAACUUUCCUAUUUGGUUUUAUCUGAUUUCAAAACAUGUUUUAGCGUAUGUGCUUUUAACCUUAAACCGCUUUUAUUAUUAUUUUAAAUGAGAAUUGCAACGUCGUGAAAACGUGUCUCGGACCACGUCACAUAAAUGCACCCGUGAUUGUUGACACAUUUCAACUUCGUUGUUAUUUGGAUUUGGGUCACAUAAAUAUGCACCCGAGUUUAGGAAAGUAAUGUUAUUAAAAUGCGUUCCAAAAUAGACUAACGCAUUAUUAUUUUUGGGGAAGGCCGUGAAAUUUGCUAAACGGUCCAUCCCAAAACCUACGUAUUUUAAUAUAACCAUUUAUCGAAGGUCCCGCAAUUUUACAUUUUUUAUUUGGCGAGGCUCAUCUCAUUUUAUUUAAAGGACAAUCCUAAAGCGACUAUGAUUUUUCUAUUUUUGUGCGUCUCUAAAAUAAAAGAAAAGGUCCUAACAAUUUAUUAUUGCUUAACAAUUAACUACGUUUAGCUCCACAAACUCAAAACAUCCCGCGUGCAUAAAUCAUAACCCAGGUCCGGUACAACAUGGAACAGUCGCAGGCUUGGGCCUAGGCCCUCAAACGAAUAUGCAAAUCAGGCCUGGGUCAAUCAUUUAGGCGCUGAGACUACACCAUUUGCAAAUGGGCUAUCGAGCCCCAACAAAGUUUCAAUUCACUUAAGAUAGGUGUCCGUUGAAGUUGUUUCCAAUUAUCUUACUCAAGGUGACAGUGAACGAUGUGAUUCCAGUUUCACACCUAAGUUCUGUUAAUUGACGCCCGAAUUUGUCUGUGGGGACACUCACGCAAUUUGAAUUUUAAAACGGUGAAAAGACGAGUUAAACUCAAGUUCAACCCCCAUAUCCCAACUAACAAAUUUAUAUUUGCCUACAACUACAAUACUCCUGUUAUACCUUCUACAUAAUUAACAGACAAACUCAAAUAGCCAAUUAUCUUUGAAUUAGAAGCCUUCAUCCUACUGGAUCUCAAAUCAGUCUAAAACAGUUCAGUCAAGUGCUAAUUAAUCGUAGAAUGAAAAUGAGAACAAAUUGCCAAAAGCUCUCCCACAUUUCUAAGUCAACUUUUUUUUAACAAAUUUCUGAAAUAACUUACCGGAAAUCAACUAAACCUAACAUAAACCAUUACAUUAAUCUAGUCAUGAAGUUAAGAGCACUUGUUCUCAACAUAAGAAGAAUUUGUUAUGUGUUUGAGUACUGCAGUCCACUUAUUACAAAACCAAACAGAAAUACACAUACAUCAGUGACUUAAGUGAUUAGCUACAUGAAUCAGGAAGAAAACUCAAUCAAAAUACAUGUUUCAAUUCUUCAUAUAUUCAUGCUUCAUAGUUUUAGCUCACAAUUAUCAAAGUCAAGUUGUGUACCUGGAAAUUAAUUUACAAUGGAAGAAGCAGAAAGAUCAGCAACGGCAGUAACAAAUGUAAAAGCAAAUCGACAGUUACCAAGAACAAAUAGAGACAAAUUCAAGGGUAAACCACAGUCCAAAUGCCCAAGAAGAAGGUAACGUAACCAAAAUACUAAAUCUACUCGGAAUUAGACUAGGCAGUGGCAGAACACCUUUAAGCAAUCAAAUAAUACCCAGCAACACUUGAACAAAUCACCAAAUACCUUCAAAUGCUCUGAACACCUAAGUACAGAACAGAAAUAGAUAGAUUUGAACUGUUUAUGAUCUUAAAAUCAAUAUAACAAAAAUUGUUCAAUGGAAUAAUAACCUCUCUCAAAAUAUGUUCAGUUUCGCCUAAAGAACUCUAAAACUCUCAAAAACUGACCUCUCAAACUCUCAAAAUGAUGUUUGCCUCAAAACUCUCUUUUCAGGUCUCAAAACUCUAUAUAGAACUCUCAGUAUUUUUUUCCCAAUGUUUUCAAGCUCUAUCAGAUUAUCUCUCCCACUCUAAAAUCUCUCAAAAUGAUCCUUUUAAACUGCCUCUAAAACUAGCUGCAAUCUUUGAAGUCCUCUCCCUGUGUCUUUCUGUACCUCUCUAUAUUUAUACCCAACCCUUAAACCCUUUCCAGCCCCUCUUUUUUUCUUUACAGUUGUACCUCUAGACCUUUUAUUAUUACCUCCGUGUUUUUUGACUUUCCAUCUUGUAUAUUCCUUUACUAUGUGUGCCUCUUUAACCUUUUAUAAUUAACCUAUACUGUUUCUGAUUUCCAAUUUAGUAAAAGCACUAGACCAAACCAACAAUCCUCUCUUCUUUCGUUAAUUCGAAAGGUUAUUUUUACUAGCAACUUCAAUUCUUCAUUAAACCCCAACUACCCACAUUAUCCCCUAUAAGGACUAUUCACAUGUUAAGGCUUAAAAAUAGAUCAACAGAUUCAAAAGAGAUGCAGAUAUUCUGAUAACUGAAAAUAAACUAAUCAUGUGUAAAACAUACAAACAUUUAUAGAACCAUGUAAAAGAACAUUCAAAAAGAAAUUGCAAACAACUUAUCAUGUUUAACUAAGAAAUGAUUUAAAUGAUUAAAACUUAAAGUAACUUGACAUGAAAUGUUCACAUUUGUUGUUCUCAGCAAAUAAAAACACAAACAGACCAAAACUUCAUAUAAUAAAAGGACAAGCACAUGAUAAGAAUCGUGAAUUUCAACCUAUGGGAAACGGAUGAGGAGGAAGAUGCACAAAAUAAAACAUAAAAAAACAGAAACACUUACAAGAAUCGAACACAUUAUUCCGUUCCAAAGACCUUCCUACUUUUUUGGUUGAAACGGACUCCAUUCGUAUGUUUUUGUUCGACUGAAAAUACACGAUUAUAGCCUAUUUCAACUUAACUCUUGAAAUCUUUAAUAAAUAGUGCUUUUGUGGAUUCAAGGUUCAACUUUCGAUCUAAAAUUCAAAAGGUUCUACGAUGAUUCAAGGAAAAAUAACGUGGUAUUUGGGACGAGGAAAGCCUGAUGGUUCAGGAGUGCGGGUUUGGGACUGAUUGGGUAAGCUAAGGUUUAGUGUCCAGAUUUUGAUUUAAGAUUCGACGAGCUUGGCCAAGGUUUGGAGGAAGAGGUUUGGUGAUCUGGAAAGAGGGUAGCUAGGCAAUGUUAUGAUGUUAAUUUGGAGGUGAACGGAGGCGACGCCUCUGGGUUUUGAGCGGUGAAAAGGGGUGGCGGCUCGCUAAGGUUUGGGGAAUUUGGACUCUUAUGAGCAGAGACGAAGGAAGGGGAGGGGUUCUAAGGGGGUGGGGUCUGUUU
This 17909-nucleotide long non-coding RNA is filed under the name Nicotiana benthamiana. RNAcentral's name for it is "long non-coding RNA (NBEN_LNC031808)". The record is from RNAcentral. Lineage: Eukaryota; Viridiplantae; Streptophyta; Magnoliopsida; Solanales; Solanaceae.